AGCAGCCGCGGUAAUUCCAGCUCCAAUAGCGUAUAUUAAAGUUGUUGCAGUUAAAAAGCUCGUAGUUGAAUUUCGGGAUCAAUAUGUUGGUCGUACCUUGGUACGUACUGGCAUUAUUGGUUCCUACCUUCUGAAGAACCUCGAUGUCAUUAAUUUAGUGUCUUGGGGAAUCAGGACUGUUACUUUGAAAAAAUUAGAGUGUUUAAAGCAGGCUCACGCUUGAAUACAUUAGCAUGGAAUAAUGAAAUAGGACGUUUGAUUCUAUUUUGUUGGUUUCUAGGAUCGACGUAAUGAUUAAUAGGGAUAGUUGGGGGCAUUAGUAUUCAAUUGUCAGAGGUGAAAUUCUUGGAUUUAUUGAAGACUAACUACUGCGAAAGCAUUUGCCAAGGGUGUUUUCAUUAAUCAAGAACGAAAGUUAGGGGAUCGAAGACGAUCAGAUACCGUCGUAGU
RNAcentral lists this ribosomal RNA (450 nucleotides) under uncultured Glomeromycotina. RNAcentral describes it as "SSU rRNA". It matches the Rfam family "Eukaryotic small subunit ribosomal RNA", at positions 569 to 1024 of the family's 1831-position model. Lineage: Eukaryota; Fungi; Glomeromycota. The record is from RNAcentral.